This 561-nucleotide long non-coding RNA is filed under the name Homo sapiens (human). Its description in RNAcentral is "long intergenic non-protein coding RNA 2207". The record is from RNAcentral. Lineage: Eukaryota; Metazoa; Chordata; Mammalia; Primates; Hominidae.
AGUGCUCACUCCAGGCCACAGACUCCGACCGGAACUGACAGCGCGGCCUCCAGGAUUGAAGCCAUCCCUGGCUUGAAGUAGCCUAAGGAGAUUUGCUAGUUUGAGUCCUGGGAGAUGAGAUGGGGAAGAUGGGCCCAAGCUGCAACAUGAAGGUCCAUGAUGAACAGUUGGCAUCUCCUACAGUGCCUGCCACUUGCAAAGCUGCAGAUCCCUGAGGCCAAGGCUGAUGAAAGAUGUGGGUAGCCGAUUCUGUCCUGUGACCUGGAGGCUCUGAAUUUGUGAUUGAAGAGAUCCUGCACAGUCCUCUCCCCUGUCAUAUCAGGCAUCUGCAAGGCAUUCUAAGGACCUCUAGGAGCACACAGUUCAAUCCAGCAACCUCUACUAAGGGUCACAAAUGCCUAUGUCCAAGUCUAUGCUGGCCCUGUCAAAGUCCCGUCUCUGCUCUGCCCCCAGGGUCUUACGGGCUACAAAUGGGACAACUUUUUAAAUACUCACACAUGUUGUGAUCAUUUGUAAGUCCAAGUCACAAAAACAGCAGAAGUAGAAAGUUUUACCUUAGAG